Molecule: non-coding RNA, 77 nt
Filed under: uncultured Luteococcus sp.
Lineage: Bacteria; Bacillati; Actinomycetota; Actinomycetes; Propionibacteriales; Propionibacteriaceae
Description: TPP riboswitch (THI element)
Rfam family: TPP riboswitch aptamer (THI element)
About the family: Vitamin B(1) in its active form thiamin pyrophosphate (TPP) is an essential coenzyme that is synthesised by coupling of pyrimidine and thiazole moieties in bacteria. The previously detected thiamin-regulatory element, thi box was extended, resulting in a new, highly conserved RNA secondary structure, the THI element, which is widely distributed in eubacteria and also occurs in some archaea.
Source: RNAcentral
ACGCGGGGUGCCACCGCUUGGUGGCUGAGAACAGACCCGUUGAACCUGAUCUAGUUCGAACUAGCGAAGGGACGUUC